Salmo salar (Atlantic salmon) is the source of this 420-nucleotide non-coding RNA. Lineage: Eukaryota; Metazoa; Chordata; Actinopteri; Salmoniformes; Salmonidae. The record is from RefSeq and is a predicted model, not a curated record.
UAACUUUCUAAUCUUCAUCUUCUACCAGUUACUGAUGGUGAAAUCUGUCUGGUGGAGCCUUCUGCCAUAAGAGACAUCCAUGCAGUUGAGGAUGAAGACACCUUGUCAGCUGCCACAGAGAGAGAAGAUACAGAGAGGCCUAUUGAGAGCAAUGCUGCAAAUUACAAUGAGGAAGAGGGUCCCUCCACCUCCACAGCAUUGACCCAUGACUUACAAUGAAACUAAGUAGACCUGGCUUUGUGAAAUUCAAUGUCAUUUUUUGUGUUCCUAUAGCUCCCUAUGAAACAGCUGUACAAGGUCUACUUACAGAAACAAAUUGAAAAAUGUAAUUUAGAAAUUGACCACAAGGUUGCAGAUGCAAAAUAUAAAAAUAUAAAUAAAACUGCUAGAACAUCAGUUAAAGGUGGGUGAGGUACCCAC